Molecule: ribosomal RNA, 440 nt
Filed under: uncultured bacterium
Lineage: Bacteria
Description: partial 16S ribosomal RNA
Rfam family: Bacterial small subunit ribosomal RNA
Source: RNAcentral
CCUACGGGAGGCAGCAGUGGGGGAUAUUGCACAAUGGGGGAAACCCUGAUGCAGCGACGCCGCGUGGGUGAAGACGCGCCUCGGCGCGUAAAGCUCUGUCAGCAGGGAAGAAAAUGACGGUACCUGAAGAAGAAGCCACGGCUCACUACGUGCCAGCAGCCGCGGUAAUACGGGGGGGGCCAGAGUUAUCCGGAUGUACUGGGCGUAAAGGGGGCGCAGGCGGCAUUGCAAGCCAGGAGUGAAAGCCCGGGGCCCAACCCCGGGACUGCUCUUGGAACUGGGUGGCUAGAGUGCAGGAGGGGCAGGCGGAAUUCCGGGUGUAGCGGUGAAAUGCGUAGAUAUCAGGAGGAACACCGGUGGCGAAGGCGGCCUGCUGGACUGGAACUGACGUUGAGGCCCGAAAGCGUGGGUAGCAAACAGGAUUAGAUACCCGGGUAGUC